Molecule: non-coding RNA, 91 nt
Organism: Potamilus streckersoni
Lineage: Eukaryota; Metazoa; Mollusca; Bivalvia; Unionida; Unionidae
Source: the annotation of a GenBank genome assembly
ACUCCUGUGGCCUAUUGGUUAGAGUAUCUGCCUCGGAUGCCAAGCAUGCGGGAGGUCAUAGGUUCGAUCCCUGGUCAAGUCAUUAGGAGGU